Long non-coding RNA from Manis pentadactyla (Chinese pangolin), 1907 nucleotides. RefSeq lists it as uncharacterized. The transcript has 3 exons. The record is from RefSeq and is a predicted model, not a curated record. NCBI's taxonomy places the organism in Eukaryota, Metazoa, Chordata, Mammalia, Pholidota, Manidae.
CAAGCCGGGGAGGGGACAACUCCACGUUUAAACGGAGCUCUGGUUUCCGUUAUCACCUGGGGUUAGAUCUUCAUGCCCAACGCGGAGACCAUGGUGGCGACUAUGGUGGCGGGGAACUUUCUGUCACCUGGGAGGGAGCAGGACGGGAUGAUGGGAGCUCGCCGCAGGGGAUACGGGGCAGCCGGGGUCAGAAGCCGCCGCUGUUCCGUUGCUCCCGGGAGCGGUGAUCGCGGACGCUGGGUACGCGGGGACCUGCUGUCACGUGACGCGCGUUCCUGGCUGACCCACGUGUGCUCAUUACGUCCUGUGCGCCCCGAGGGCGGGUCUGCCUGCACUGCUGCCUGUUUGUCCCCAGGGGCUGACACCUGGCAUAGAGCACAGGUGCCAGGACACCAGCAGAUGCCCAGUGAUACUGGCUGAAAAAAUGGCUGAGACACGUGACAGCCCAAAUGUCCUGCUGCCUGGGAGUUUAUUUCAUGGUGUCAGUUGGUUGGGUCGGCGGCCUGGGCCGUGGUGGGCGGAAGCUGCCUUCAGGCCAGCAUGUGGCCACGGAGGGCCAUGGGUGACCAACUUCCAUCCUGUAGGUGUCGAGCAACAAGGUGGAAGCCACUUUCGUCCUGGAGUGACUUUGUGGAGCAGAGACGCCGCUCAGCCUGGGAGCCUGCCUUUCUCUGGGCUGACACGAGACAGAGGAAGGAGCUUCUCUUGUUCAGGCCACAGGGUUUUAGGAACUUUGGGUCAUAGCAGCUUAGACGUCAUACUUUAACGUGCGUAUUUGCCCUUUGCUGCCUUUGAAAAUGGUUGUGUAGGAGGCCUGAAGCUGAAGUUGUACUCCAAUGAUCUGACUUCUUCUCCCCUGGACUGGACUAGUGGGAGACUACUUGAGCAAGACCCAGAAAACCCAGGUUCAGCCCUGAUGAUAAGUGACUGCAUGAUGUUGGACAGGACACAGCUCCUCUGAACAUCAAUUUCAUGAUGGGGAUUAAAUGAAUGGCUCUCAGACCAGCUCUGACAUUCUGUGAAUUAAGCACACUUGCUUCAGAUUUCAGUUUCCAUGGAAUUGGAGGAUUGAAACGGCAAUGAACCCUCCUUCAUAUCAUCCUAAGACCCCAAACUGAAUAGUCCUGUUGGGAGGGACCUAUCUGUGGCUCCUUCUCCAGGGGGCACAGGUGAAGAACACCUUGCAAGAGGGACUAUCUUUUUAACUAUCUCCUUCUGAUUUCAAACACAAUGGUUCUGCUAAGUUGCUUUUAUUUUUCCCCUGUGAAAAUGAUGUUGUGAGAAAAUGUAACCAGUACAAUUAUACUGAACUUUCAUAAGAUGAAAUGUUAAUAAAAUUGAUGUUUGGCCAAUAAAAUACUUGAUGCCAAAUUAAAUAGGCCUGAAGGGAAUUCUGCUUUGGAGCAAACACCAUGGGAAACAGGAUGAAAAGGAAAUUAAUAUUUUUGAGCAACUAUAUGAAUUUCUCCAGAAAUACAAGUAUAUAAGUUGCAACAUUUUUGACUUUCCCAGAGGGAGUAAAGCAUAGUGGCUAAAGAUGUGCUGAGGACAGAUUUCCGGAGUCCAGAUCCCAGCUUUGCUCGUUCUUGUCUGCCAGCCUUGGGCAAGUUAUGUUCCCUCUUGGUGCUUCAGGUUUCUGGUGUGUGCACUGGGGCUAAUAACAGUAUUUCCCCGUGACGUUGUUAGAAGGAUUCUAUGUAUAAGGCAGUUAGUAAUGCCUGGAGCCCAGAGGUGUUCAGUCUACAUUAGGGAUCAUCAUUAGAGAGUCAUGGGCUUGAAAUGAAAAGGUUCUGGAGAGAUUGCGUGUUCAGAGCCCUGCCGUGGGGCACGAGGCUUGGCUCCCUACUUUAUCCAGGAGACACUGGGGGCCUUGAACUGUUGAAGUACUUUCCCAAAGCCACACAGCA